AUCUUCCGCAAUGGGCGAAAGCCUGACGGAGCAACGCCGCGUGAGUGAUGAAGGUCUUCGGAUCGUAAAACUCUGUUGUUAGGGAAGAACAAAUUUGUUAGUAACUGAACAAGUCUUGACGGUACCUAACCAGAAAGCCACGGCUAACUACGUGCCAGCAGCCGCGGUAAUACGUAGGUGGCAAGCGUUAUCCGGAAUUAUUGGGCGUAAAGGGCGCGUAGGCGGUUUCUUAAGUCUGAUGUGAAAGCCCACGGCUCAACCGUGGAGGGUCAUUGGAAACUGGGAAACUUGAGUGCAGAAGAGGAGAGUGGAAUUCCAUGUGUAGCGGUGAAAUGCGCAGAGAUAUGGAGGAACACCAGUGGCGAAGGCGGCUCUCUGGUCUGUAACUGACGCUGAUGUGCGAAAGCGUGGGGAUCAAACAGG
This 423-nucleotide ribosomal RNA is filed under the name uncultured bacterium. Its description in RNAcentral is "bacterial SSU rRNA". It matches the Rfam family "Bacterial small subunit ribosomal RNA", at positions 361 to 776 of the family's 1533-position model. The record is from RNAcentral.